AAAGGAAAGGUCAAAGUUGUAAAUCCGAAAAGGGAAAGGUCAAAGUUGUAUUUCCUUAUAAAUUCUGGCAUCACGGACCAAACGGCCCUAAAAUCGCCAUCGUACGCCCCGAAAGCUCAAAGGAAAAAGUUUAUAGUAUAUGGAUAACAAAUCACCACCGUGCAAGGAGGUUGCUGACGAAUUGACUCGGGAGUCACUUAUCGCGAUCUCUUAUUUAGAACCGGAUAACCCUGCCAAUAUGAAUGUUCAACCUAAAAGCUGCAUUGUUGCAAAUGAUGAUGCAGUGACUGAUGGUGACAACACCGAGAAGUACAGGUCAGAGCUCAUGUCCAUCUCUGAAUUGCCGCCGCCUAAUACUUCACCUGUUGCUGUGGAUCCUUGAGGAUUAAGGGGGUUUCAAUUUCUUUGAAAGACCAUUUUGACUAAGUGACAAGCUUGCUUUGAUGUAGAACAAGUGGAAUGUCUUUUAAUGCUGCUUUCUUCUUCUGUGGAGCUGUCAAAUUCUACUGAAAAUAUGUGCAGUAUCGAACUCCAUGUACAAAAGUGAUGUAUGAUCAGUUUGAGAAAAUGCACAAAGAAAUUGGUUUGAGCUUUACUA
Molecule: long non-coding RNA, 598 nt
Organism: Eucalyptus grandis
Lineage: Eukaryota; Viridiplantae; Streptophyta; Magnoliopsida; Myrtales; Myrtaceae
Exons: 2
Source: RefSeq, a predicted model, not a curated record